RNAcentral lists this long non-coding RNA (1768 nucleotides) under Linum usitatissimum (flax). RNAcentral describes it as "long non-coding RNA (LUSI_LNC003798)". Lineage: Eukaryota; Viridiplantae; Streptophyta; Magnoliopsida; Malpighiales; Linaceae. The record is from RNAcentral.
UUUGUCCUCCAUUUACCCAUUCAUUGUCUACACCGAGUGCGACAUUCACAUUUUGAGGUCCAUUGGCACCACCAGGGCAAAUCUUAACCCAAGCAGUUAUCUGAUAUGUCAAGAACAGCUUCACUUUCUCGGUGAUUGUUUGUGCAGGUCCCAUCCAAGUUUGUGUUCUAUUCGUGACAGCUAUGCACCGGCCGCUUAGAGGCUCGUGAACUCCAAGAGAUUCUCUUGCCAUCGGAGCAAUUACAUGAGGUGAACCAGUUGCAACACUUAGAAAACAAUUGCCAAGAGGAAACCAACCAUUGGUUCCAGCACUCAGAUUGCUGUUAUGAAGUAUGUUCACUCCAAAUGCAGGGUGCUGUAAAACCAUAUAUCAUGUCUCAGUGUUCAAAUGUGUUCCAAAUAUUCUCAACAAUAAGACGAGUUAAAACUAGUGGAAAAUGGUUGAGUUGAGGUUGGGAGGAACUGUGAAAAGUUAGAGUAAGGGGAAAUAAAGGAUUCCUAGGAAAGUCAAAUUCCCUUUGAGUAGAUUAGGAAAACAAAAUUCCACUUGGAAUCCUUAUAUCCCGUAAUUCAAGUUUCUUUCCACAACUCUUUCCAAAUCCAACUCAACUUCUUACACUAAUAUUAACUCAACUGUCCUAUUGGCAAACUUAACGUUUAUGUUGAAUAAUGAAAGUUCCUUUCGAUCCAAACCCGGUAAAGGUGGGGAACAGAACGAGCUUGCAAGGCGGAAACUAACCUCGAUUCGAAGAGGUGAGGGAAGGACUUUCUUUGCACGUUUCAGAGUGAAGCUAUUUACGAGAACAUCAGUCCCUGGAGGUGGACCUUCCAGGUACACAACUAUUUUCUUAGGAGAGCCAUUCAAAAGGAACUUCCCCUGCAGCUUUACCCAAUCUGAGUCUUUUGCCUGCAACCUGCACAGCAAAAUGUAACAUAUAAAAUGUGUGGUGACUUGUAAAAAAUGUAAGAGGCACACAGUACUAGAAGGGUAACAUAAGUUGAAGCCAGAAGAAAAGACACUAACUUUGCAAUGCCGAUAUAUUCUUCUCGGUUAUCCGGAUUUUGCACCCACAAAGUAGCUUGUACAUCAGCACAAGUGACAUUGUUGCCAUAAAUCCGCACUAUAGCAGUGACUUCAUACACAAGCUUCCUCUGUACUCUCCCGGUUAUUUCCUGUUGAAUUCCGUGCCAGCUCGCCGUACGUCCUGUUGCUACUACAAUGACUUUGCUGGACUCGUGUACAAUUUUCCUGUCAGCUGUCGAAUUGUGUACUAGGAUCUUGCACCCUCUACCAGACCAAUUGUUCAAGCCAUCCUCAAAGUUGUGAUUUAAUAUGAGGUUCUCAUCUUCAUUUUCAGAACUCCCAUGACUAAUCCUCGCACCCUGUUGAAAUAAUGGUGCUUACUUUGUGAUUACCGACUCAACAUGGAAGCACAACAUAAGGAAACAGACCAAUAGUAGCAUUCAAUGUCAGCAGUUCCAUGCAGUAUGCAGCAGAAAGUUCAGUACAACUUGCUCAUAUCAUACAUGCAGCUUCACUUUCUCGGUGAUUGUUUGUGCAGGUCCCAUCCAAGUUUGUGUUCUAUUCGUGACAGCUAUGCACCGGCCGCUUAGAGGCUCGUGAACUCCAAGAGAUUCUCUUGCCAUCGGAGCAAUUACAUGAGGUGAACCAGUUGCAACACUUAGAAAACAAUUGCCAAGAGGAAACCAACCAUUGGUUCCAGCACUCAGAUUGCUGUUAUGAAGUAUGUUCACUCCAAAUGCAGGG